RNAcentral lists this ribosomal RNA (254 nucleotides) under uncultured bacterium. Its description in RNAcentral is "partial 16S ribosomal RNA". It matches the Rfam family "Bacterial small subunit ribosomal RNA", at positions 524 to 776 of the family's 1533-position model. The record is from RNAcentral.
UACGUAGGGGGCGAGCGUUGUCCGGAUUUAUUGGGCGUAAAGAGCUCGUAGGCGGUUUGGUAAGUUGGAUGUGAAAUCUCCAGGCUCAACUUGGAGGGGUCAUUCGAUACUGCCAUGACUAGAGUUCGGUAGGGGAGUGUGGAAUUCCUGGUGGAGCGGUGAAAUGCGCAGAUAUCAGGAGGAACACCUAUUGCGAAGGCAGCUCGCUGGGACGUAACUGACGCUGAGACGCGAAAGCGUGGGGAGCAAACAGG